UACGUAGGUGGCAAGCGUUGUCCGGAAUUACUGGGCGUAAAGCGUGCGCAGGCGGCUUCCUAAGUCAGAUGUGAAAUCCCCGGGCUCAACCUGGGAACUGCGUUUGAAACUGGGAGGCUAGAGUGCGGCAGAGGGGGGUGGAAUUCCACGUGUAGCAGUGAAAUGCGUAGAUAUGCGGAGGAACACCGAUGGCGAAGGCAAUCCCCUGGGCCUGCACUGACGCUCAUGCACGAAAGCGUGGGGAGCAAACAGG
Molecule: ribosomal RNA, 253 nt
Filed under: uncultured bacterium
Lineage: Bacteria
Description: partial 16S ribosomal RNA
Rfam family: Bacterial small subunit ribosomal RNA
Source: RNAcentral